AUGAAGUUGGGACACAUGAAGUCACAUGAUUGCCACGUAAUGUUGACACAAAUCCUCCCGGUGGCCAUCAGGAAUCUGAUGGACAAAGGUAUAAGAAACACACUCAUUGACCUCUAUGAUUUCUUCAACCAACUAUGGCAGAAAGUUGUAGAUCCUCAAGAGUUGGAUCAUAUGCAAGAUGAUAUUGCAAGAAUAUUGUCCAACCUAGAGAUGUUUUUCCCACCGUCAUUCUUUGAUAUCAUGGUCCAUCUCACUGUGCACCUUGUCGACAAGAUAGAGUAUCAUGGUCCCGUGUUUCUUCGCAACAUGUAUCCCUUCGAGCGGUUCAUGGGAAUCCUGAAGGGCUUUUGUCGGAACUGA
RNAcentral lists this ribosomal RNA (360 nucleotides) under Triticum aestivum (bread wheat). RNAcentral describes it as "partial small subunit ribosomal RNA". Lineage: Eukaryota; Viridiplantae; Streptophyta; Magnoliopsida; Poales; Poaceae. The record is from RNAcentral.